GACGAACGCUGGCGGCGUGCUUAACACAUGCAAGUCGAACGCUGAAGCUCAGCUUGCUGGGUGGAUGAGUGGCGAACGGGUGAGUAACACGUGAGUAACCUGCCCUCUUCUUUGGGAUAACGCCCGGAAACGGGUGCUAAUACUGGAUAUUCACUGAUUCUCGCAUGGGGGUUGGUGGAAAGGUUUUUUCUGGUGGGGGAUGGGCUCGCGGCCUAUCAGCUUGUUGGUGGGGUGAUGGCCUACCAAGGCUUUGACGGGUAGCCGGCCUGAGAGGGUGACCGGUCACAUUGGGACUGAGAUACGGCCCAGACUCCUACGGGAGGCAGCAGUGGGGAAUAUGGCACAAUGGGCGAAAGCCUGAUGCAGCGACGCCGCGUGAGGGAUGGAGGCCUUCGGGUUGUAAACCUCUUGCGCUCAUGGUCAAGCCGCAGCUUUGGGUUGUGGUGAGGGUAGUGGGUAAAGAAGCGCCGGCUAACUACG
Molecule: ribosomal RNA, 480 nt
Filed under: uncultured bacterium
Lineage: Bacteria
Description: partial 16S ribosomal RNA
Rfam family: Bacterial small subunit ribosomal RNA
Source: RNAcentral